CAGAGGGUGCAAGCGUUAAUCGGAAUUACUGGGCGUAAAGCGCGCGUAGGUGGUUUGUUAAGUUGGAUGUGAAAGCCCCGGGCUCAACCUGGGAACUGCAUUCAAAAACUGACAAGCUAGAGUAUGGUAGAGGGUGGUGGAAUUUCCUGUGUAGCGGUGAAAUGCGUAGAUAUAGGAAGGAACACCAGUGGCGAAGGCGACCACCUGGACUGAUACUGACACUGAGGUGCGAAAGCGUGGGGGAGCAAACAGGAUUAGAUACCCUGGUAGUCCACGCCGUAAACGAUGUCAACUAGCCGUUGGGAGCCUUGAGCUCUUAGUGGCGCAGCUAACGCAUUAAGUUGACCGCCUGGGGAGUACGGCCGCAAGGUUA
RNAcentral lists this ribosomal RNA (373 nucleotides) under uncultured organism. Its description in RNAcentral is "bacterial SSU rRNA". It matches the Rfam family "Bacterial small subunit ribosomal RNA", at positions 526 to 896 of the family's 1533-position model. The record is from RNAcentral.